CCCCUCGAUGAAGAUUGUGAUGAU
Molecule: non-coding RNA, 24 nt
Filed under: Arabidopsis thaliana (thale cress)
Lineage: Eukaryota; Viridiplantae; Streptophyta; Magnoliopsida; Brassicales; Brassicaceae
Source: RNAcentral